AUUGAACGCUGGCGGCAUGCCUUACACAUGCAAGUCGAACGGCAGCACGGGUGCUUGCACCUGGUGGCGAGUGGCGAACGGGUGAGUAAUACAUCGGAACAUGUCCUGUAGUGGGGGAUAGCCCGGCGAAAGCCGGAUUAAUACCGCAUACGAUCUACGGAUGAAAGCGGGGGACCUUCGGGCCUCGCGCUAUAGGGUUGGCCGAUAGCUGAUUAGCUAGUUGGUGGGGUAAAGGCCUACCAAGGCGACGAUCAGUAGCUGGUCUGAGAGGACGACCAGCCACAGGGGGAGUGAACCGGGCCCGAACCUCAGGGGGGGGGCGCGAGGGGGAAUUUGGGGAAAGGGGGAGAAGCCUGGACCAAGCAUGGCGGGGGUUGGAAAGAGGCCCUUGGGGUUGAAAAGCAUUUUUGCCGGAAAAAAAAUCUUGGCCUCUAAUACGGGGGGGGGAGGCGGGUACGGAAAAAAAAACCCCCGCCAAACUAGGCC
Molecule: ribosomal RNA, 486 nt
Filed under: uncultured bacterium
Lineage: Bacteria
Description: partial 16S ribosomal RNA
Rfam family: Bacterial small subunit ribosomal RNA
Source: RNAcentral